Long non-coding RNA from Hyla sarda, 411 nucleotides. RefSeq lists it as uncharacterized. Lineage: Eukaryota; Metazoa; Chordata; Amphibia; Anura; Hylidae. The transcript has 3 exons. The record is from RefSeq and is a predicted model, not a curated record.
GGAACCUCCAGCAUCCUCCUCAUGCAGUGACAGGAGCAGCAGAAGACUCACGCCUCUGCAACGAUCCCCGGCAGGAGGAUGAGGAUCUGCUGACAGUGAGGAGCCAAUGAUGUCUGGAUGUCAGACUCUGCAGAGAAGAUGGAGCUGGAGGAAGACCUGGUCUCUGGACCAGAGGAAGAAGAAAAGAUAACAGAGAAGAUAUCACUCAAGUCAGAAGACGUCACUCGGGUCACUGAUAUCAUUGUGUAUUCUCCUGACUGUCCCAUCAGAAAUGUAGUCACUUAUUCAAGAUAGAGAGGAUUCGAUGGAUUGUGAAGAAACACGCCACCCGUUCUGUGCCUAUUCAUACCUUCUCAUGUGUCUUGUGCUGUUCUCUGUCUAUCCAUAUCUUUUUAUGUUUUUGUUACAGUA